Long non-coding RNA from Argiope bruennichi, 251 nucleotides. RefSeq lists it as uncharacterized. The transcript has 2 exons. Lineage: Eukaryota; Metazoa; Arthropoda; Arachnida; Araneae; Araneidae. The record is from RefSeq and is a predicted model, not a curated record.
AGAUUUUUCGCGAAACAAUGAAAUAGGGCCGGAAACUUGUGAAGAUGAAGACAACUAUGAAAGCACGUGCUUCGUAAACGAUGCCAUCAAAACUCGCUGUGCUGUGCCUGAAAUGCCUUCAGAAGAAUGUAUGGCUCAAAUGAAAGCUUUCGUACAAGCAGAUGUUUGCAACUUAAGAAGAAAAUAAACAGGAGUUGGAUUGCAAAUGGAAAAAUUUGUAUUUUAAUAAUAAAGUAUGAAACUGAACAAAA